Molecule: ribosomal RNA, 344 nt
Filed under: uncultured bacterium
Lineage: Bacteria
Description: bacterial SSU rRNA
Rfam family: Bacterial small subunit ribosomal RNA
Source: RNAcentral
AGGGUUCGAUUCUGGCUCAGGAUGAACGCUGGCGGCGUGCUUAACACAUGCAAGUCGAACGAAGCACUUAAGUUUGAUUCUUCGGAUGAAGACUUUUGUGACCGAGUGGCGGACGGGUGAGUAACGCGUGGGUAACCUGCCUCAUACAGGGGGAUAACAGUUAGAAAUGACUGCUAACACCGCAUAAGACCACAGCACCGCAUGGUGCAGGGGUAAAAACUCCGGUGGUAUGAGAUGGACCCGCGUCUGAUUAGUUAGUUGGCAGGGUAACGGCCUACCAAGACGACGAUCAGUAGCCGGCCUGAGAGGGUGGACGGCCACAUUGGGACUGAGACACGGCCCAG